RNAcentral lists this unclassified non-coding RNA (374 nucleotides) under fungal sp. RNAcentral describes it as "partial internal transcribed spacer region". The stretch from base 1 to 46 matches the Rfam family "Eukaryotic small subunit ribosomal RNA", at positions 1786 to 1831 of the family's 1831-position model. Lineage: Eukaryota; Fungi. The record is from RNAcentral.
AAGUCGUAACAAGGUUUCCGUAGGUGAACCUGCGGAAGGAUCAUUACCAAUUUUACCCCAAAGAGGGAGGCGAGGAGGCUGGGCAACCGCCUCUUUUCCUUCUUUCUUUCCAACCAACCUUUGAUUGUGAACCAUGAGACCAAACAACACCAUACAAAGCCGUUGUUGUUGUUGUCACAGCCAUCUUGCAUGGUGAUGAUGACGAUGAUGAUGUGUUUUGUAAAUUUAUUAAACCCCAAACAAAUCGACCACGGCACCGCCAUGCGUGCAUGCGCGUGUGUGAGUGUGUUGAGAAAAGCAAUGCUUGUCCGAGACAGAAACGUUGAGAAACAAAAAUCUAUAUACAACUUUUAACGGCGGAUCUCUUGGCUCGU